CUUGGCACUGGGAGAAUUCACAGG
Molecule: microRNA, 24 nt
Filed under: Heliconius melpomene (postman butterfly)
Lineage: Eukaryota; Metazoa; Arthropoda; Insecta; Lepidoptera; Nymphalidae
Description: Hme-Mir-96-P2_5p (mature (guide))
Source: RNAcentral